GACGAACGCUGGCGGCGUGCUUAACACAUGCAAGUCGAACGGAAAUAGUAGAGUAUUUAUAUGAAGCUAUUUUAGUGGCGGACGGGUGAGUAACACGUGGGUAACCUGCCCUAUGGAGGGGGAUAACACAUAGAAAUGUGUGCUAAUACCGCAUAACAUACAGAGGUCGCAUGAUUUUUGUAUCAAAGAUUUAUUGCCAUAGGAUGGACCCGCGGCCCAUUAGCUAGUUGGUGAGGUAACGGCUCACCAAGGCGACGAUGGGUAGCCGAUCUGAGAGGAUGAACGGCCACAUUGGAACUGAGACACGGUCCAGACUCCUACGGGAGGCAGCAGUGGGGAAUAUUGCACAAUGGGGGAAACCCUGAUGCAGCAACGCCGCGUGAGUGACGAAGGCCUUCGGGUUGUAAAACUCUGUCUUAGCUGACGAUAAUGACGGUAAGCUAGGAGGAAGCCACGGCUAACUACGUGCCAGCAGCCGCAGUAACAC
This 487-nucleotide ribosomal RNA is filed under the name uncultured bacterium. Its description in RNAcentral is "bacterial SSU rRNA". It matches the Rfam family "Bacterial small subunit ribosomal RNA", at positions 28 to 526 of the family's 1533-position model. The record is from RNAcentral.